UGUUUGGUUGCUCGUAUGUAGUAGGAGUGUGCGAAUGACAUGGGGCCCCUAUUUGCGAGCGAUCAAGAUGCGGGAGACAAAGGGCGGUUAUGGUGCUGGCCGCAGGCCGUCAACUCUGCAGAAAUGUAGUAAAGGCUAGCUCGCGGGCCACCAUGUGAAAUCGAUACGAUGUGAGGCCGCGCCACGCCUUGGCCACCGCAGGGUCAGAUGGUGAGUGACGCCCCUGGGAUUUAACUUGGAUUUUGGGUUGUGAAACUAUCCAUGUAUCUUUGGGACCUGCCUCCUGUGGCAGUCUCCCUUCCUAGCCAUGGAAGAGCAUGUUCUUGUUAUUGGCAAAGCUGUCACCAUUUCAUUGGUACCAGAUUCUGACUUGAGCAAGUAACAUUCAAAGACUGUUAAAAAGUCUGCACGACGCUAGGAAACUGAACUUUAUUUUCUAAAGUAGUGUUGAAAUAUUCCUAGGGAACGGCUGAACUCGUGACUGUUGAAGAGUAGAAGACGUAUUAAGGUAAGGUUAAUUUUUUUUAACGUUUCCGCGGUUCUGGGUAGUGAGUAGGCCUUUACUGUUGGGUCCAAUUUGCCCUUGAACUAUUAUGUAACAUAAGUAAACAGCCCGUUUUCCAGUCAUGGACAUUCUAUAAUGGGUUUUUUUUUCUCUCCUACAGGUACGAUAGUAAUGGCUGAGAACUUCCAGUCACCUUAGAUCUUCAUAUCUAAAUUUUGAAAAUGAACUUUAUGUCAAAUAAAAGGUUGCUUGGUGUGUAAU
This 766-nucleotide long non-coding RNA is filed under the name Rattus norvegicus (Norway rat). RNAcentral describes it as "long non-coding RNA NONRATT016850". The stretch from base 258 to 387 matches the Rfam family "Small nucleolar RNA SNORA24". The record is from RNAcentral. Lineage: Eukaryota; Metazoa; Chordata; Mammalia; Rodentia; Muridae.